This 521-nucleotide ribosomal RNA is filed under the name uncultured bacterium. RNAcentral describes it as "bacterial SSU rRNA". It matches the Rfam family "Bacterial small subunit ribosomal RNA", at positions 355 to 896 of the family's 1533-position model. The record is from RNAcentral.
UGGGGAAUAUUGCACAAUGGGCGAAAGCCUGAUGCAGCAACGCCGCGUGAACGAUGAAGGUCUUCGGAUCGUAAAGUUCUGUUGCAGGGGAAGAUAAUGACGGUACCCUGUGAGGAAGCCCCGGCUAACUACGUGCCAGCAGCCGCGGUAAUACGUAGGGGGCUAGCGUUAUCCGGAUUUACUGGGCGUAAAGGGUGCGUAGGUGGUCCUUCAAGUCGGUGGUUAAAGGCUACGGCUCAACCGUAGUAAGCCGCCGAAACUGGAGGACUUGAGUGCAGGAGAGGAAAGUGGAAUUCCCAGUGUAGCGGUGAAAUGCGUAGAUAUUGGGAGGAACACCAGUAGCGAAGGCGGCUUUCUGGACUGCAACUGACACUGAGGCACGAAAGCGUGGGUAGCAAACAGGAUUAGAUACCCUGGUAGUCCACGCUGUNNCGAUGAGUACUAGGUGUCGGGGGUUACCCCCCUCGGUGCCGCAGCUAACGCAUUAAGUACUCCGCCUGGGGAGUACGCACGCAAGUGUG